UUUUCCCUCUCCCUCGCGCACCCGAGCCGCACUUCUUCCCCCGCCCGACGCGAACUCUCUGCCCUAACCGGAGCCGGCCCGGCGGUUCCUUCUUCCCCCUUCUCUUCAUCUCCUCGCCAAGGACCAUGCCCUAAACCUCCCUCGCGCCGACUUCCUCUCCCGAUUCCUUUCUCUCCUCUGCCGAGCCGGUUUGUGCCCUAGCCAUCCCCGACUGUGCCGAUCUCUUCUUCCUCCUUGUCUAAGCACCGGCGACGCGCGAGCACAGCCGGACCGAGCCCUCUCUGCCCACUGACGGCGUCCGUUUGUCCUCAGCAAAGCAGCGCCGCACCCCUUGUGCCGAUAGCCGCCGUGCCCUAGCUAGUAGCCGGCGUUGCACGGAGCCGCACCUCUGCCCCUCACUGUCGCCGGCCAUCAGGUACAGCCGAGCCUUAGUUGGUUUUGAAGGUAAGUUGUGUGGUGUGGAAUUUGGGUUAUGGCUUGAUCUGUGUUAAUGAUCUCAAUUCUUGACCUUGCUUGGACCAAUCGGUGGAUUUCUUCUAUCUGUGUUGCUACUGUGCCCUAGUUCACCACUGACGGUGCCACUCUCUUCUUUACAGCAGAGUGGUGAUCUUGUAGCUGGAAGGGGGUUUUUCUGGUGGGUUUUCUAGGUUUCCAGCAGCGACUCUGGCUAUUGGGAUCCGACAACAAUGCUACUGGGGACUGAAUUCAUUGACCUAUCUGGUUGUAAAUUAACAGAAGAGGGUUGUGAGAGGUGAAGGAGCAGUAAGGACUUUGACGCGAGACGAGUAUCUCGACGUCGUAUUCGGACCAGAUUUGGGCUUUUCGAUU
This is a long non-coding RNA of Zingiber officinale, 828 nucleotides long. RefSeq lists it as uncharacterized. The record is from RefSeq and is a predicted model, not a curated record. The transcript has 3 exons. Lineage: Eukaryota; Viridiplantae; Streptophyta; Magnoliopsida; Zingiberales; Zingiberaceae.